GAUGAACGCUGGCGGCGUGCCUAAUACAUGCAAGUCGGGCGAACAGACGAGGAGCUUGCUCCUCUGACGUUAGCGGCGGACGGGUGAGUAACACGUGGAUAACCUACCUAUAAGACUGGGAUAACUUCGGGAAACCGGAGCUAAUACCGGAUAAUAUAUUGAACCGCAUGGUUCAAUAGUGAAAGACGGUUUUGCUGUCACUUAUAGAUGGAUCCGCGCCGCAUUAGCUAGUUGGUAAGGUAACGGCUUACCAAGGCAACGAUGCGUAGCCGACCUGAGAGGGUGAUCGGCCACACUGGAACUGAGACACGGUCCAGACUCCUACGGGAGGCAGCAGUAGGGAAUCUUCCGCAAUGGGCAAAAGCCUGACGGAGCAACGCCGCGUGAGUGAUGAAGGUCUUCGGAUCGUAAAACUCUGUUAUUAGGGAAGAACAAAUGUGUAAGUAACUAUGCACGUCUUGACGGUACCUAAUCAGAAAGCCACGGCUAACUACGUG
RNAcentral lists this ribosomal RNA (497 nucleotides) under uncultured bacterium. Its description in RNAcentral is "partial 16S ribosomal RNA". It matches the Rfam family "Bacterial small subunit ribosomal RNA", at positions 28 to 507 of the family's 1533-position model. The record is from RNAcentral.